UACAGAGGCCACGAGCGUUAGGCGGAAUCACUGGGCUUAAAGCGUGUGUAGGUGGAUCGGUAAGUACCUUGUGAAAUCCCACGACUCAAUCGUGGAACUGCUUGGUAUACUGCCAGUCUUGAGGCACUCAGGGGCGAGCGGAACAGAUGGUGGAGCGGUGAAAUGCGUAGAUAUCAUCUGGAACGCCAAUGGUGAAGACAGCUCGCUGGGGGUGUUCUGACACUGAGACACGAAAGCCAGGGGAGCAAACGGG
Molecule: ribosomal RNA, 253 nt
Filed under: uncultured bacterium
Lineage: Bacteria
Description: partial 16S ribosomal RNA
Rfam family: Bacterial small subunit ribosomal RNA
Source: RNAcentral